AAGCGGGGGCAACCCCGUGAGUAAAGUGGCGACCGGGUGAGUAACACGUGACUAACCUACCCUCUGGCGGGGAAUAACCUCGGGAAACCGGGGCUAAUACCGCAUAACAUCCGCGGGUGCAAUUCCUGCGGAUCAAAGGAGCAAUUCGCCGGAGGAGGGGGUCGCGGCUGAUUAGCUAGUUGGUAAGGUAACGGCUUACCAAGGCGACGAUCGGUAUCCGGCCUGAGAGGGCGCACGGACACACUGGAACUGAAACACGGUCCAGACUCCUACGGGAGGCAGCAGUGGGGAAUUUUGCGCAAUGGGGGAAACCCUGACGCAGCAACGCCGCGUGGAGGAUGAAGCCCCUUGGG
This 353-nucleotide ribosomal RNA is filed under the name uncultured bacterium. Its description in RNAcentral is "bacterial SSU rRNA". It matches the Rfam family "Bacterial small subunit ribosomal RNA", at positions 71 to 422 of the family's 1533-position model. The record is from RNAcentral.